AUUGUGGUGGUGAACAUGCACCUGAAUUUCUUAAAUUAGGGUGAAGGAGACGGAGGUGGCAAGAAUAAGGGCUGUCCAGAAUGUCUCCUAUCCGGAGGUGUUGAGAAGAGCGGAAGAAAGGAGUGAAGUUGAAGAAGUAAUGAUAAUAGGACUAGAGACACAAGAUGAUACUCCUUGUCAACAGAGGGAUCCUGGCAUGUUAACAAGGUGGACUUUGUAGCGUUUAUACUUUGGAUAUUAACUUUACAGCGCAAACGGAGAGGAAAUCUAAGAAAAUAGGUAUUGUGUGUGUGGCUGAAUGUUUUUUUGGGAGUUAUUUUGCCGAGGCAUACAAGGAAUCCAGUCGAUUAAUGCUCAAUUCUCACAGGCACUAGAUGUGAUUUGAAUGUGACCGAAGGAGUGGGAUGGUUGUUCGAUUUAUUUAGUAUUAUCCUGGGUCCCCCUCCUUCUCGCAAUGGAUUUAUUUUGUUACACCCGGUACAGUAGGUGGCGGCAAUACACCAAUAGGUGUCGUCUGCCAUAAAACUUUAAAGAAGAUGAAGAAGAUGCCACUUGAACUAGACGACAAUUUUUGUUAGGUAUCCACAAGGAAAUGUCUGUCAGGGGGAUUACUUUGUUUUUUCGAAAUUGUACAACUCUGAAGUUACUUCGUUAAUCCUUUAAGGUCAUAUUUUAAAUACACUAGCUUUAAUACCAUCGGAUAUAUGUGUAUAAUUGAGUUUAGUAGAAGUCAAUUUGGCCAAUGGGAAACGGAUUAUUCAGAGAAUCUUGCGGCUCUUGUAAUUAUUCCCUGCUGUACUGUUAGCUACUAGCUAGUGAUAACGCCUGAUAGUCAGUUAGCUAAAUCGUUGAAGAAAUUUGGGACCGUUGUGAUAGUAACUUGAGGGAGGCUUUUACAACAAGAUAACUUCUUUACUGGACGGAAUACGACGAAAGUACAAGGAUAUAACUACCGUUAAGUUGAAGUUGUUUCGAGCGAAAAUGAUUUUUUUUUACCAUCAGCUAACAUCUAGUAAAUUAGCUAGCUAGUUGACAGGGAUAUCCGUGAAAAUUGGGUAUGGUGUGAAAUAACUUGCUAACGUUACCUACUUUAGAUUUGUUUUAACCAUAUCAUUUAACAUACCAAGCUAACGAUGCGGGAUUCAACAGUGAAUUUCAGUGUUCUCCAUAGAACAUGCAAGUUGGUCGUCCUUCUAUGUUUUUUCCAUAUUUCGGUCACUUUCAUUUUUUACGUGAGGUCGUUAGAUUUUCGUUUUGCAUUUGCGAAGCACGACCAAACUGCAUCAAAGGACACCGCAACUGACGCGUUUGAAACGAACCACUUUUCUGUAGACAACGUGACUACAAUCACCAAAGAACUUGGAAAAUGUCCUGACACAUCGCCACUGCUUGUUGGCCCACUGCGAAUUGAGUUCUCCAACCCAGUCAGCCUGGACGUGGUAAGGAAGGAAAACCCCAAUCUUAAGAAUGGGGGGCGCUUCAAGCCCAAAGACUGCAUGGCCCUCCAGAAGGUGGCCAUCAUCAUCCCUUUCCGCAACCGCGACGAGCACCUCAAGUUCUGGCUCUACUACCUCCACCCCAUCCUUCAGCGCCAGCAGUUGGACUAUGGCGUCUAUGUCAUCAACCAGGACGGUGAUGAGGUCUUUAACCGCGCCAAGCUCCUCAACGUUGGCUACUCGGAGGCCCUGAUGGAGUACGACUACGGCUGCUUUGUGUUCAGUGACGUGGACCUCAUCCCCAUGGAUGACCGCAACACCUACAGGUGCUUCAGCCAGCCCAGGCACCUGUCUGUUUCCAUGGACAAGUUUGGCUUCAGAUUGCCGUACAACCAGUACUUUGGAGGCGUGUCGUCAAUGAGCAAGGAGCAAUUCCUCAAGAUCAACGGCUUCCCCAACAACUACUGGGGCUGGGGAGGGGAGGACGACGACAUUUUCAACAGGCUGAACUCCAAGGGGAUGACCAUCUCACGGCCCAGCGGAGCCGUGGGGAAAUGCAGGAUGAUCCGCCACAACCGGGACGGUGGGAACGAAGACAACCCACAGAGGUUCGACCGCAUCGCCCACACCAAGGAGACCAUGAACAAAGAUGGCAUAAAAACCCUGUCGUACAAAGUGGUGAAAGUGGAGAAGGAUCAAUUAUACACCAAAAUCACUGUGGACGUGGGGAAAAAAAUUACUCGUCAAACCAAUUAAAACCUGAACAGCCUUGACAACCAAUUUGCCACUGUGGUGGAUGCUGUAACCAAAUGUGCCUUGACACUAUAAAUAAUCUUAUGCCCUGGACUUUUUGGACCAUAGAGAAUGACUGAUCUAAUCAGCAAACGAACAUGUUCCCCAAUAUUCCCUUUAUUUUCGGCCUUUGCACAUCCGAUGGUGAAUUGAACUGGGAUUCCAGCGUUUCCAUCAUAGGAUCCUUAAAUCGUUGACGCCAGAAAUGAGAGUUGACAUUCCGUACAUUGACACACUGUCGGGGUCCUAUCAGGCUGAUAUGGCCCCCGCUCUCUCUGUCUGGAGACGGCUGCUGAGACCAAGUCCUUUGUGAGCCAUUUUGUCUUGAGGGGGAGGUUGUGAAAUGUCUUAAUUGAUUGUCCUAUGCAUCGGGAACUCUCAAAUAAUGCGUUUUGUCAUAUGCAUUUCUUUGCAAUACUGUGGAUGUUGUCGUUUGGGUUCAUGUUGGGGUCAUUUUAGUUUUCUGUCACUUCUGGGGAAUUUCUUGCUAAUCCUUUUUAAUACCUCUGCUGAGCAGGGUUUCAACCAAUCCAAUGCCAAGAGGUCAGGCCAAAGAUGGAACUCUGCAAUUCAGAGGUCAUUAAAAACAAAAUCACUUAGGUUUUGUUAAGACAACCAAUCUUAAAGGAUUUUUGUACUUUGAUGUUCCAUCAAGAUUUUGAACUUACCCCAAAGGGCCUAGAAUUCCCUCCAAAAAUAGUUGAAAAGGCCAAAUCCCAUGAUAUUUACAUUAGGCAUUCUAAUUCUCACUGCUAAGGGUCCUUAGUCUAUUGUUGAUAUAGUCCUAAAAUGUUUUGCAUGUCAGCAAUCAAGUUUUCAAGAUGUAUAACUUUCGAAAUACAGCCAGUAUGAUGCAUUUUGCGUCGUUUAGUUUUUAGGUGUGUUUUUGUUGAGUAUUUUGAACUAUGUGAAAAGCUCUCUUGAAAGUGUCUCUGCUGAUGCUCCCUUCCCUGUGAAGACCACCAUUCAAGGUAGCCUGUAAGGAGGCCUCUCCCUAGUUGGAAAAAGAGGCACCUGAAUGUAUUGCCUGGUGGUGUUGUGAUUGUGUGCCCUGAGGUAAAAUGAUACUGCGCUGUUGUCUAUCACGAUUGUCUGGUUUAGUGAUUUUUAUUUUUUAUUUUUUGUCUGAGAUGGGGGGGGGGGGGUUCUACGCUAAAAAUAAUCAUCUUGUAUUCAUUGUAUGUCUGAGAGGGUUAGAAAUCAUUUUUUAAUUUAUUUUUGGCCUCGAUGUAGUAACCAAACCACAGGACGUUGGUGGCACCUUAAUGAGGGAGGACAGGCUCGUUGUAAUUGCUGGAGCGCAAUGGAGGGAAUGGGAUCAAACACUUGAUUUCCAUGUGUUUGAUGCCAUUUCAUUUGCUCCGUUAUGGUUAUCAUGAGCCGUACUCCCCUCCGCAGCCUCAUGCCACCACGGGUCCUUAUCAUUCCUCAUAUACAUUGAAAACUACACAAGAUUGUGCGCUAUGAGGCAUGGCGUUGCACAUGUACAGUUAGUAACUCAAUCUUAUUGAGGAAAAAAGCCAUUGCGAUUUCUGACUGGACACUAGAUAUAACAGAGUUAUUGUCUGUCUAUACUUAGGCUUCCAUGUAUGCCAUUCCUCUUCUGACAGAAUUAAGAAGCAAUCAGCCCUUGAAGAAUCUGUAAAAUGACAGCCAUUUUUGCCUUACCCAAAUAAACUUGAAAAUAUCAAUUUAUUGGUCAACUUUGAAACAUUAGUAGGAGAUAUGGGUGUACAUUAACCGCUAAAGCUAAGUCAGUAAUUCCCUAGCUGUUCCCCAAAAGUGUUUCCCAAGAGGCUGAACUAUAGUUAGCCGUUUCCCAAGAGGCUGAACUAUAGUUAGCCGUUUCCCAAGAGGCUGAACUAUAGUUAGCCGUUUCCCAAGAGGCUGAACUAUAGUUAGCCGUUUCCCAAGAGGCUGAACUAUAGUUAGCCGUUUCCCAAGAGGCUGAACUAUAGUUAGCCGUUUCCCAAGAGGCUGAACUAUAGUUAGCCGUUUCCCAAGAGGCUGAACUAUAGGGUCUUUGGGCUCGGUCAAGAAAGCCACAUCACAGGCCGUUUCAACUAUGGUGAAACGUUGCAAAAAUAAAUCCUUCAUAUAGAAUGAGCACAAUGUACAUAGCAAAUAGAGGUUUGUGUCAGCUCUAUGCAACACAUUUAUAUACUCAAAAUGGGGAGCGUUUGCCACAUUGAAUAAGCCUAAGGAAAGGCCUAGUCACCACAUACCUCCUCACUCUGUCUGGUUGCUAUGUACAGACACUUGAAGACAUGGGAGUAGUCCCAUGAUGUGCAGUCUUGCUCUUUAAGCCUGGCAUGCAGGGCUGCAUAAUGUGCAAUGCAUAGCAUUAUAUACUUCUCUCAAUCCACCUAAAGAUUCAUUUUCAAGGUUGAAAACCAGUGUCUUUUAUAGGUUGGCUGAAGCCAGGUUUGUUUCUCCCAAAGACAAUGGCCUUUGUUGAGAAAGCCAGCAAUAUGUAUGCCACGUGUGAAUUAAGUUUGUGUUACAAUAGUUAGCUGACUAAUCUGUAAGGCUUCUAUCUUUUUACUUUUCAUGUUUUCCAUUAUGAUUCAAUGUGUGCAUCUAUGCUUGUGAUUUCUACAAAUGCAUGUCUUUGUAUGACUUUUGCUGGUUUAACAAUUUCAUUCAAAAAUACAUUUCCUGGUUUGUGAGAAUGUUGGUGAAGAUGAAUCAACUCAUGUUUAGGUUAUUAAAAUCUGUGAUUUAAGUAAAUGUCUUCUCAUUCAUUAACUUGGGUCAGAACACUAAGCAGUGGUUUCCCAGACACAGAUUAAACCUAUUCCUGGAUGUAAGAGUAUUCUUUUUGUACAAGCAUUAGGUCAGCCAGCUAAACUCUUAAGUGUCCUCUCGGUUAAUGUUCAGUGUGGCCACUGGCCAGUAGUCUCAUCUGCACAGUGCAAUGGGUGGAGCGUAUCCAUGGGUUACCGGACGGGACAAGGGUGCAGGAGCAAGCAGAGUAACCCUCUAGACCUUUUUUAAAGGAAAGACAAGCCAACUGCUGGUCUACAUUUACUUAAUGAAGAACAAAAACACCUCUGUCCAGGUUGGCAACAGUGGCAGAUGUCUUUUCCACUAACGUACCCCGUGGACGAUAUGAUACAUGGCUGGCAUCGACUCCCCCAACCUGGGACGGUUGACCUUCGGGCCUUCCUGGACUCUGAGCAGCGGAGGAGAGAUCUGGAUGUCAGUCUGGCUCAGGUCCAAAAUGCCCUGCAGGAACAGAGGGUCAGAAUGCUCCAGAGAAUGGGCCCAGGGAGCCGACAUAAACUACCCCAGAUACUUGUUUUGAAUCUUGGGCAGAUCAAUCGACCAGUAAACCUCCAUCCUAGUCUGUUAUCAGAGAACAUCUACAUCCCACCAUAUGGUGACCUUUACACAAGAGUGGGCAGGCUAGAGAUUGACUCAGAGAUCAUUAGCGCCCAACUGGACCAGGUUCUCUGUUCUAGGGGAAGGUGUCUCUACAGGAAUGGACCCUCACCCCAACAGGACAGCUUGACUCCUUGUCAGAGGGAGGACCAUAGUAUGACCUCUCAGCUUAUUGCUCAAGCAGUGGACAAAGGACAACUUCUGAAAGAGCGAGACAACCUUGAGCGUCUGCUGGAGGAAUCCAGGGCCCAGCAGCAGCUGAUGGAGCAGAAGAGGGAGGCCCAGAUAGCAGCCCUUCACUCCCAGCUGUACCAGGCACGCUCCAGCCUCCAGGAGACCCACAGAGAGACACUGGCCACACAGGCAGAGCUACAUGGCAGCAAGCAGAUAAAUGAGUCCCUGCUACAGGAGGUGGCGUCUCUCAGACGGAGGCCCGGGGCUGCGGAGGAGCGGGCCUCCCUGAUGGAGAGUGACGGACGCCUGCUCAGGGCUCGCAUAGCAGCACUGGAGACUGAGCGGGAGGAGCUGCUUCAACAAGGAGACCUCGCCACAGGGAGACGACGCUCCUCAGCCUUUGGGAGCGCUUGGGAAACGGAUGUGGAAGAUUCCGAAAAGUCGGAGGGGUUGAGGGAGGAGAGUACCGCAUAUGAGAUGGGGGAAGUGGAGGAGGAGGAGAGGGUACAAGGGAAGGAUUUGUCUGUGGACUUAAGACUUAAGAUCCAUGAGGUGCCGCUCUCUAAGCCUGGCCUACAGAUAAAGGAAGAGAACCAGGACGGAGAGAAGGGGCUGGGAUUGGUCGAUCGCUGGAAUCCAUGGCAGCACGAGCCAAUAGAAGCCAAUCAAAUGACGGCGCUGGUCAUAGAGCUGCAGCAGCUGAGAACGGCCUGUGAAGAGACAUCAUCAACACUACCGGUCUCCCCCAAGGACCAGAGGGCCAGAGAGUGGAUGUGAAAGAGCUGCUCUGCUCGAGGACUGUGUGGGGGAGAUGGAUUGGGAGGGGCUGGCUUUCCUGGAGAGAGACUGUGGAGUUCUUCGGGUGGUACCUCCAGGAUCAUUGGCAAGAAGUAACCCACCACAUUCACACUGAUCCUUGACUAUGUAGGCCCACAUUUCCAUAUUCUCCACAAUCAUGUACGCUUUCUUUUACAAAAACACGUCUGUUUGCGUAUGCAAUAAAUUAUGUCUGAAUCAAAACGGCAGGAAGCGAUCCGCUGAGGCCCUGCGUAUUAAAUUGUGGUCUCAAGUACGUCCUCAAGAACUCCUUUCAUGUUUACCUGACAUCAAUCACCCGCAUUGUGAACUGUGUACAACAUUUAGUUUGUCAGUUUAAAAUAAAUAUUGGACUGACUCUAAUACAACUCCACUAUCCCUAGGCCUUUAUGGGUAUACCAGUUGGACAGACAAAUACCCCUCAAGGAUCUCACCCCCUCCUAUCCUUUACUUGUGUUAUGCCUGUACACAAGCUUAGUUGGAAAAAGGCAGGUAUUUUUCAGGCUCCAUUGUAUAGGCUAACCUGUCAAAACAUAUUCCAAAGAUUACACAAUUUACAGUUGGCCUGCAUGCACAUUUUGUCUAAACAGCGAACAAAUAUUUACUGUGGCUGGGUGUGUGGAGGAAUUAGUCACUUCCUUGAAUGGGUCUUGCUCAAUGUUAGACCUAAUGGUCAUUGCAUACUGUGUGGUUUGCUCUUGUGAUUGGUUUGAUACCCCUCCCUCACAGUACAGGAGGUGAUUUCCUGCAUACUUUCAUCAUCUGAGUCUGACUUGCCUGUACAUCACAGCUAGCAAAUGUAAAUUAUGGUGGUGUGCCCUUUUGUGGACAAGUUAUUCAUUUUUUUAUUAAUCAAUGUGACUUCUUAAUCAAUACAGUUAAAUUACUUCUUUAUUUCACAUAAAAUAAGAAUAGAGUAGAUAUUAUCAAUCAAGGACAUUGUCCUUGCUCAUGGGUACAAAAUAUGUAAAAUAAAUGAUCAGCGUAGGUGUUGACUGCUGUGAUUGUUCACACUGGGGUCAAAAUCCCCUUCAACUGCUAAGAUCAAACGACUUGACCCACACGUGCCAGUUCAUCCCCACCACCAUCUCAAAGGGGACAUUUUUUUUCUUCCCCCAGAUCCUUGGCUAUCUCACUCUGGGGUGCCAGCAGCCUGAAUGGCAAGAGGACCAUUACUAUUUAGAACCAGGGGUUGUGUUGAGCGGCGCAACUUUACAAAAUGGAGGAAGACUAGUGACAUCAAACUUUUAAAUUGAAUGACCUGCUGUUCAAGUUAAAAGGUCAUGCCACCUGGAGGUAUAAAGAGGCGUUUGUGACAAUACUGACCUGCACAUUUGGUCUAUUCCUCUUGGUAUGUCCCUCGUAGGAGAGUGACGCUUGCUCACUCCCCCCUUCCCCCCUAAAUUCACCUUGACGAUGUCACCUGACUUGGCAGUUACGAUGCCAAACUCUUUCCCCUUUCGCUGGAACAUACUGGGAGAGAAAAUAAGCAGUGAAUCCACACUUGAGUAGAACCGUGUAACAUAGGUUAGUACAUAAUGGAGCAGGCAUAAACGGUUCAUUCUGGUCAUUUAAAAAAAAUUGACUAGUCUUAGUCGUUUUGACUAAAAUAUUAAGUCUGUCACAUUUUUGUCAUGAAUAAUGAUUUAGUCUAUUGUCAAAAUGACAAAAACAGUCUGCUAUUUUAGUCAAAUAAAUGCCCUUUAAUUUUAGUCAGAUCACAUUUGUUUUGCCUCACUAACCUACAGUAAGCAUGUGCAGAAACAUACAUAGCCUUGUCCUAUCAACAUUUUUCUACAUAACGUCCUGUCACAUGAUUCUCUUCCCAACAACCAAAUUAAGAUUAAAACAAAAUCACCCCUUGACAGGGCUGCAAACUAACAUGUCCCCUGGUGGCAAUGGUCCUGCUAACGUUUUCAGUUGAUGGCAUCAGCCCAUGAUUUGGUUGCAGCAAUUAUUUUCCUGCGACGUCAUGUAAAGUUUUUUUUUAGGACCUUAGAAAGUAAUACACAGUGCUUUAGACUGUGUAAUAGACUACGGACAUGGUAGGCUAUUCAAUAAUUAAGUGGUUUCAUCUAACGUGUCCAAGCAGGAAUGCAUGAUUCAAGAUAUUUUGAUGUGCAACCUAAUAUAGUGAUUGUCAACCCAAAAUUCAUGACAAUCAGGCUAUUGUAUAUUUUACUAUUAAAAUAGGGCUCCAGGAUUUUCUGAAUUUUGUUGCUCAAUACAGAUGAAUUUGCCUACAUUUUUAUCAUAGGCAAAUUUAUCUUGGGUCUAAAUCACCACAUGAGAAAGUGAAAGCAAUCUAGCUAAUGCGUUUUGAGUUGACACUAAAUAUACUGAACAAAAAUAUAAAACGCAACAUGUAAAGUGUUGGUCCCAUGUUUCAUGAGCUGAAAUAAAAUAUCCCAAAAAUGUUCCAUUUGCACAAAAAGCUCAUUUCUCUCAAAUUUUGGGCAUAAAUUUGUUUACGUCCCUGUUAAUGAGCAUUUAUCCUUUGCCAAGAUAAUCCAUCCACCUGACAGGUGUGGCAUAUCAAGAAGCUGAUUAAACAGCAUGAUCAUUACACAGGUGUACCUUGUGCUGGUGACAAAAGGCCACUAGAAUGAGCAGUUUUGUCACAACACAAUGCCACAGAUGUCUCAAGUUUUGAAGGCGUGUACAAUUGGCAUACUGCAGGAAUGUGCACCAGAGCUGUUGCCAGGUAAUUUAAUGUUAAUUGCUCUACCAUAAUCCUCCACCAACGUCGUUUUUAGGGAAUUUGGUCAGUACGUCACAACCCCCAGACCACGUAUAACCACACCAGCCAGGCCCUCCACAUCCGCCUUCUUCACCUGCAGGAUUGUCUGAGACCAGCC
RNAcentral lists this long non-coding RNA (9460 nucleotides) under Salmo salar (Atlantic salmon). RNAcentral describes it as "lncRNA (ENSSSAG00000097993.1)". Lineage: Eukaryota; Metazoa; Chordata; Actinopteri; Salmoniformes; Salmonidae. The record is from RNAcentral.